Transfer RNA from Felis catus (domestic cat), 85 nucleotides. It matches the Rfam family "tRNA". Rfam says of the family: Transfer RNA (tRNA) molecules are approximately 80 nucleotides in length. Their secondary structure includes four short double-helical elements and three loops (D, anti-codon, and T loops). The record is from Rfam. NCBI's taxonomy places the organism in Eukaryota, Metazoa, Chordata, Mammalia, Carnivora, Felidae.
GCUUGAGUGGCUCAGUUGGUUGAGCAUCUGACUUUGGCUCAGGUCAUGAUCUCAUGGUUCACGGGUUCAAGCCUCGUGUUGGGCU